This 96-nucleotide transfer RNA is filed under the name Armillaria gallica. Lineage: Eukaryota; Fungi; Basidiomycota; Agaricomycetes; Agaricales; Physalacriaceae. The record is from Rfam by way of RNAcentral.
UCGGAUAUGGUGUAACGGCUAACAUUGCCACCUUUCAUGAUGCAUUCUCUGGCAAAUUUUUCGCGGCAGCUCGGGGUUCGAUUCCCCGUAUCCGAA